This 228-nucleotide long non-coding RNA is filed under the name Capsicum annuum. Its description in RNAcentral is "long non-coding RNA (CANN_LNC004590)". Lineage: Eukaryota; Viridiplantae; Streptophyta; Magnoliopsida; Solanales; Solanaceae. The record is from RNAcentral.
CGAGGUUAUUGAUGAUAAUUAUGUGUAGUCAUUGAUGAAAACUUUAUUAUUUUUGAAUGUCUUCUGAAGACUUUUGUACAAGACUUCCUUGAUAUUGAGAGAUUAUUAAUAAUUCAUUCUGAAGACUUUCGCUCUAACAAAAAUUUCCACUGAUGGUAUAGACUUUUGCAUGGCAGAUAUCUUAUCAUCAGCAGAAAUUCUUGUCGUAGCGAAUGUCUUGAGAAGUCA